This 254-nucleotide ribosomal RNA is filed under the name uncultured bacterium. Its description in RNAcentral is "partial 16S ribosomal RNA". It matches the Rfam family "Bacterial small subunit ribosomal RNA", at positions 524 to 776 of the family's 1533-position model. The record is from RNAcentral.
UACGAAGGGUGCAAGCGUUUAAUCGGAAUUACUGGGCGUAAAGCGUGCGUCAGGCGGUUUGUUAAGUCUGUGUGAAACCGGCCCGGUUAACCUGGGAAUUGCGAUGGAGACUGCAAGGCUUGAAUCUGGCAGAGGGGGGUAGAAUUCCACGUGUAGCAGUGAAAUGCGUAGAGAUGUGGAGGAACACCGAUGGCGAAGGCAGCCCCCUGGGUCAAGAUUGACGCUCAUGCACGAAAGCGUGGGGAGCAAACAGG